RNAcentral lists this ribosomal RNA (988 nucleotides) under uncultured bacterium. RNAcentral's name for it is "bacterial SSU rRNA". It matches the Rfam family "Bacterial small subunit ribosomal RNA", at positions 513 to 1503 of the family's 1533-position model. The record is from RNAcentral.
AGCCGCGGUAAUACGAAGGAUCCAAGCGUUAUCCGGAUUUAUUGGGUUUAAAGGGUGCGUAGGCGGGCUAUUAAGUCAGUGGUGAAAGCCUGCAGCUUAACUGCAGAAUUGCCAUUGAUACUGAUGGUCUUGAGUACACUUGAGGUGGGCGGAACGUGUCAUGUAGCGGUGAAAUGCUUAGAUAUGACACAGAACACCGAUUGCGAAGGCAGCUCACUAAAUUGUAACUGACGCUGAGGCACGAAAGCGUGGGGAUCAAACAGGAUUAGAUACCCUGGUAGUCCACGCCCUAAACGAUGAUUACUCGAUGUGUGCAAUACACCGUACGCGUCCAAGCGAAAGCAUUAAGUAAUCCACCUGGGGAGUACGACCGCAAGGUUGAAACUCAAAGGAAUUGACGGGGGCCCGCACAAGCGGAGGAGCAUGUGGUUUAAUUCGAAGCAACGCGCAGAACCUUACCCACCUUUGACAUCCCGUGCUAUCUAGAGAGAUCUAGAGUCCCUUCGGGGACUGCCGGUUCAGGUGCUGCAUGGCUGUCGUCAGCUCGUGCCGUGAGGUGUUGGGUUAAGUCCCGCAACGAGCGCAACCCUUGUCCUUAGUUGCCACCAUUCAGUUGGGCACUCUAGGGAGACUGCCGGCGUUAAGCCGGAGGAAGGUGGGGACGACGUCAAGUCAUCAUGGCCCUUAUGUCCAGGGCCACACACGUGCUACAAUGGGCGGUACAAAGGGUCGCAAACCCGCGAGGGGGAGCCAAUCCCAAAAAGCCGCUCUCAGUUCGGAUUGGAGUCUGCAACUCGACUCCAUGAAGUUGGAAUCGCUAGUAAUCGCGGAUCAGCACGCCGCGGUGAAUACGUUCCCGGGCCUUGUACACACCGCCCGUCACACCAUGGAAGCCAGCUGUACCGGAAGUCGGUGCGUUAACCCGCAAGGGAGAUAGCCGCCUAUGGUAUGACUGGUGACUGGGGUGAAGUCGUAACAAGGUAGCCGU